GAUGAACGCUGGCGGCGUGCCUAAUACAUGCAAGUCGAGCGAACAGACGAGGAGCUUGCUCCUCUGACGUUAGCGGCGGACGGGUGAGUAACACGUGGAAAACGUACCUAUAAGACGGGGAAAACUUCGGGAAACCGGAGAUUAUACCGGAUAAUAUAUUGAAGCGCAGGGUUGAAUAGUAAAAGACGGUGUUGGUGGCACGUAUAGAGGGUUACGAGCUGGAUUAGCUAGUAGGGAAGGUAAAGGGUUAUCAAGGCGACGAGGCGUAGCCGAACUGAGAGGGUGAUCGCCCACACUGGAACUGAGACACGGUCCAGACUCCUACGGGAGGCAGCAGUAGGGAAUCUUCCGCAGUGGGCGAAAGCCUGACGGAGCAACGCCGCGUGAGUGAUGAAGGUCUUCGGAUCGUAAAACUCUGUUAUUAGGGAAGAACAAAUGUGUAAGUAACUAUGCACGUCUUGACGGUACCUAAUCAGAAAGCCACGGCUAACUACGUG
This 497-nucleotide ribosomal RNA is filed under the name uncultured bacterium. Its description in RNAcentral is "partial 16S ribosomal RNA". It matches the Rfam family "Bacterial small subunit ribosomal RNA", at positions 28 to 507 of the family's 1533-position model. The record is from RNAcentral.